UGUAUAAUGGGUCAGCGACUUAUAUUCUGUAGCAAGGUUAACCGAAUAGGGGAGCCGAAGGGAAACCGAGUCUUAACUGGGCGUUAAGUUGCAGGGUAUAGACCCGAAACCCGGUGAUCUAGCCAUGGGCAGGUUGAAGGUUGGGUAACACUAACUGGAGGACCGAACCGACUAAUGUUGAAAAAUUAGCGGAUGACUUGUGGCUGGGGGUGAAAGGCCAAUCAAACCGGGAGAUAGCUGGUUCUCCCCGAAAGCUAUUUAGGUAGCGCCUCGUGAAUUCAUCUCCGGGGGUAGAGCACUGUUUCGGCAAGGGGGUCAUCCCGACUUACCAACCCGAUGCAAACUGCGAAUACCGGAGAAUGUUAUCACGGGAGACACACGGCGGGUGCUAACGUCCGUCGUGAAGAGGGAAACAACCCAGACCGCCAGCUAAGGUCCCAAAGUCAUGGUUAAGUGGGAAACGAUGUGGGAAGGCCCAGACAGCCAGGAUGUUGGCUUAGAAGCAGCCAUCAUUUAAAGAAAGCGUAAUAGCUCACUGGUCGAGUCGGCCUGCGCGGAAGAUGUAACGGGGCUAAACCAUGCACCGAAGCUGCGGCAGCGACG
Molecule: ribosomal RNA, 603 nt
Filed under: Escherichia coli
Lineage: Bacteria; Pseudomonadati; Pseudomonadota; Gammaproteobacteria; Enterobacterales; Enterobacteriaceae
Description: partial 23S ribosomal RNA
Rfam family: Bacterial large subunit ribosomal RNA
Source: RNAcentral